AACGCACGAGACCUGCGGACCUGCGGAGGGAUCAUUAACGAAUCUUUGGCCCGAGGUGCAUGGCACUAAGGGUCACAUUGACUCGGGCAUUAGAGGACUCGAGUUGGUCUACCAGCUCGGCCUCAAAGGCCUAGAGACAUUUACGCUUGUUGUGUAUGACUGAGUUAUUAUGUUGGCCUAAUAAAGACAACUUUUAACAACGGAUCUCU
This 209-nucleotide unclassified non-coding RNA is filed under the name soil metagenome. Its description in RNAcentral is "partial contains 5.8S ribosomal RNA, internal transcribed spacer 2, and large subunit ribosomal RNA". The record is from RNAcentral.